RNAcentral lists this ribosomal RNA (2295 nucleotides) under Gambierdiscus caribaeus. Its description in RNAcentral is "eukaryotic LSU rRNA". It matches the Rfam family "Eukaryotic large subunit ribosomal RNA", at positions 1 to 2868 of the family's 3401-position model. The record is from RNAcentral. Lineage: Eukaryota; Dinophyceae; Gonyaulacales; Pyrocystaceae.
CUGUGUGAAUGCAAGUGUGAACACCUGCUGAAUUUAAGCAUAUAAGUAGGCGGAGGAAAUGACACAAACAUGGAUUCACUGAGUAACUGCGAGUGACAUGUGAUUUGCUCACAGCUGAUAUUCUUUGCUGUCUGCUUUGACAUGAGGACUUUGAGUGCGGUGCCAAUGGUGGUGUAAGUGUGAGCCAUCUUGGAAAAGAGGAGAGUGUGCACUGACAAGGGUGAGAAGCCUGUGUGUGCUUGCAAAAUCUCCAUAUGGGGGUCACGCUUUGAGAAUCAUGCUCUUUGGAAGUGGAGUGUAAAGUGGGUGGUAGACUCUUCUCAAAGCUGAGUACAGAACUGGGACCGACAGGGAAGAAGUACCAUGAGGGAAGUGUGAAAAGGACUUUGGAAAGAGACUUAAAAGAGCCUGUACUUGCUGAAGGAUAUGCAUACAGCAUGCUUGCAUGUGAGAUGAUUGCUGUGUGUAUGAGUCUGACUUUGGCUGGAUGGCCAUGGCCGUGUGCCAUGGACACUUGGCCACCCAAUGUGUAUCCUCUUGUGUGUGCCAGCAUGUGGGAGACAGUCAGUGUUUGAGUGCAGUGGUUGCUGUGUCUGGGGAUACAUCAGAUGUGCACUCAAAGAUCUGAGCAUGUUGAGAAGCAGGUGCAGAAGGGCCCUCCUGUCUGUAUGACCCGUCUUGAAACACGGACCAAGGAGUCUAGCAUGAGUGCAAGCAUAUGGGACCGAAGGCUCUGUGUGCAAUGAAGGUGGAGUCCCAGAUUUGUGCAUGAGUGUUCAAACAAGCAGGAGGACAAGGUUUGAGUCUGAGCAUUCCUGACAGGACCCGAAAGAUGGUGAACUAUGCCCGGAAAGGGCCAAGUCAGGGGAAACUCUGGUGGAGGCUCGUAGCGUUACUGACGUGCAAAUCGUUCGUCACACCUGGGUAUGGGGGCGAAAGACUAAUCGAACCAUCUAGUAGCUGGUUCCCUCUGAAGUUUCCCUCAGGAUAGCUGAACUUGCAGGACUUUCACCAGGUAAAGCGAAUGAUUGGAGGAAUUGGGGGUUGCAGACCUUUGACCUAUUCUCAAACUUUUAAUGGGUGUGUUGUGUGGUUGCUUAGCUGAACCAACAGCUAAUGAUGACUCUUAGUGGGCCACUUUUGGUAAGCAGAACUGGCGAUGAGGGGUGAACCUGAUGAUGGGUUAAGGCACUGAAGUUCUUGCUCAUCAGAAACUGUAAAGGGUGUUGGCUCAUUCUGACAGCAGGUCGGUGGUCAUGGAAGUUGAAAUCCGCUUGGGAGUGUGUAACAACUCACCUGCCGAAUGGACUGGCCCCAAAAAUGGAUGGUGCUCCAGCAGGUGGCUGACACUUGUCAAGUGUGAAUUCUAACCACAAUGUGUAGGAGGGUAUGGUUGUUAGUGCCGAAACAUUGAGUGGUGCUAUGUUCAAGUAAGCAGAAGCUGCUUGAUGCCACGGGUGGAUAAUGGAUUCUGUACGGUGAGAACUGCUGGACAAAGAUUGCCCUUGUGGGCUCAUUCGCACACGAUGAACAACCAGCUCAGAACUGAAGCGGGCAAGGGGAAUCCGACUGUUUAAUUGAAACAAAGCAUUGCGAUGGUCUUAAGGGGUUUUGACACAAUGUGAUUUCUGCCCAGUGCUCUGAAUGUGAAAGUGAGGAGAUUCAAUUAAGCGCGGGUAAACGGCGGGAGUAACUAUGACUCUCUUAAGGUAGCCAAAUGCCUCGUCAUCCAAUUAGUGACGCGCAUGAAUGGAUUAAUGAGAUUCCCACUGUCCCCAUCUACUGUCCAGCGAAACCACAGCCAAGGGAACGGGCUUGGGAGAGCCAGCGGGGAAAGAAGACCCUGUUGAGCUUGACUCUAAUCUGACUUUGUGAAAUGACUUAGGAGGUGUAAAAUAUGUGGGAGCCCAUGUGAUCUUGAAAUACCACUACUCUUGAUGUCACUUUACUUACUCUGUUCCACAGUGACCUGUGCUUGAUCAGGUUUUUGCUGGAAGGCUUCUCCCCUGGAAUUGCUGAGCUGCGUGGAAGAUGCAGUCAGGUGGGAAGUUUGGCUGGGGCGGCACAUCUGUCAAAGGAUAACGCAGGUGUCCGAAGGUUAGCUCAAUGAGAACAGAAAUCUCAUGUGGAUCAAAAGGGACAAUGCUUGCUUGAUUUUGCUUUUCAGUGUGACGACAAACUGUGCAAACAUGGCCUAUCGAUCCUUUAGGACUGAAGAGUGUUCAGCUAGAGGUGUCAGAAAAGUUACCACAGGGAUAACUGGCUUGUGGCAGCCAAGCGUCACAGCGACGUCUU